UUUCUAUUUCAUGCGUCCCAAAAUUCUUGUCUUCGAUUUGUCUAUAAAUGGAUGUAUCUAGAUACAUCCAUUUAUAGACAAAUCGAAGACAAGAAUUUUAGAUACAUCCAUUUAUAGACAAAUCGAAGACAAGAAUUUUGGGACGGAGCACAUG
Hordeum vulgare subsp. vulgare (domesticated barley) is the source of this 154-nucleotide non-coding RNA. The record is from Rfam. Lineage: Eukaryota; Viridiplantae; Streptophyta; Magnoliopsida; Poales; Poaceae.